RNAcentral lists this ribosomal RNA (398 nucleotides) under uncultured Filosa. RNAcentral describes it as "partial small subunit ribosomal RNA". It matches the Rfam family "Eukaryotic small subunit ribosomal RNA", at positions 30 to 432 of the family's 1831-position model. The record is from RNAcentral. Lineage: Eukaryota; Cercozoa.
GCUUGUCUCAAAGAUUAAGCCAUGCAUGUCUCAGUAUAAGUUCCUGUACGGCGAAACUGCGAAUGGCUCAUUAAAACAGUUACAGUUUAUUUGAUGGUCGUUCCUUACAUGGAUAACUGUGGUAAUUCUAGAGCUAAUACAUGCACAAAAUCCCGACUUCACGGAAGGGAUGUAUUUAUUAGAUAAAAAACCAAUCCGGCAACGGUGCUUGGUGAUUCAUAAUAACUGUUCGAAGCGCACGGCCUCGCGCCGGCGCUAGUUCAUUCAAAUUUCUGCCCUAUCAGCUUUCGACGGUAGUGUAGUGGACUACCGUGGCGCUAACGGGUGACGGAGAAUUAGGGUUCGGUUCCGGAGAGGGAGCCUGAGAAACGGCUACCACAUCCAAGGAAGGCAGCAGG